CAAUAGCGUAUAUUAAAGUUGUUGCGGUUAAAAAGCUCGUAGUUGGAGUUCUGCCAGGUGCCGUCUGUCCGCCCCAGUGGUGAGUACGUGACGCGCAUUUGGCCCUUUCAAGGGGAGCGUAUCUGCACUUUACUGUGUGGUGCGGGAUCCUUGACUUUUACUUUGAGGAAAUAGGAGUGUUCCAAGCAGGCUCUCGUCGUGCACAGCUCAGCAUGGAAUAAUAGCAUUGGACCUCGAUUCUAAGCUGUUGGUUGCCAGAAGCGAGGUAAUGAUGAAGAGGGAUAGUUGGGGGCAUUCGUAUUUAACUGUCAGAGGUGAAAUUCUUGGAUUUGUUAAAGACGGUCUACUGCGAAAGCAUCUGCCAUGGAUGUUUUCAUUGA
This 380-nucleotide ribosomal RNA is filed under the name uncultured eukaryote. RNAcentral describes it as "partial 18S ribosomal RNA". It matches the Rfam family "Eukaryotic small subunit ribosomal RNA", at positions 592 to 976 of the family's 1831-position model. The record is from RNAcentral.